This 465-nucleotide ribosomal RNA is filed under the name uncultured bacterium. Its description in RNAcentral is "partial 16S ribosomal RNA". It matches the Rfam family "Bacterial small subunit ribosomal RNA", at positions 28 to 507 of the family's 1533-position model. The record is from RNAcentral.
GACGAACGCUGGCGGCGUGCUUAACACAUGCAAGUCGAGCGGUAAGGCCCCUUCGGGGGUACACGAGCGGCGAACGGGUGAGUAACACGUGAGCAAUCUGCCCAUCACAUCGGGAUAACUCCGGGAAACCGAAGCUAAUACCGAAUACGACCACCUCCGGCAUCGGAUGGUGGUGGAAAGUUCCGGCGGUGAUGGAUGAGCUCGCGGCCUAUCAGCUUGUUGGUGGGGUAACGGCCCACCAAGGCUUCGACGGGUAGCCGGCCUGAGAGGGUGACCGGCCACACUGGGACUGAGACACGGCCCAGACUCCUACGGGAGGCGGCAGUGGGGAAUAUUGGACAAUGGGCGAAAGCCUGAUCCAGCAACGCCGCGUGAGGGAUGACGGCCUUCGGGUUGUAAACCUCUUUCAGCAGGGACGAAGCGCAAGUGACGGUACCUGCAGAAGAAGCACCGGCCAACUACGUG